This 336-nucleotide unclassified non-coding RNA is filed under the name soil metagenome. Its description in RNAcentral is "partial contains 5.8S ribosomal RNA, internal transcribed spacer 2, and large subunit ribosomal RNA". The stretch from base 1 to 120 matches the Rfam family "5.8S ribosomal RNA", at positions 35 to 154 of the family's 154-position model. The record is from RNAcentral.
GAUGAAGAACGUAGCGAAAUGCGAUAAGUAAUGUGAAUUGCAGAAUUCUGUGAAUCAUCGAAUCUUUGAACGCACAUUGCGCCCGCCAGUAUUCUGGCGGGCAUGCCUGUUCGAGCGUCAUUUCAACCAUCAAGCCCCCGGCUUGUGUUGGGGACCUGCGGCUGCCGCAGGCCCUGAAAAGCAGUGGCGGGCUCGCUGUCACACCGAGCGUAGUAGCAUACAUCUCGCUCUGGGCGUGCUGCGGGUUCCGGCCGUUAAACCACCUUCAUAACCCAAGGUUGACCUCGGAUCAGGUAGGAAGACCCGCUGAACUUAAGCAUAUCAAUAAGCGGAGGA